This 545-nucleotide ribosomal RNA is filed under the name Salmonella enterica subsp. enterica serovar Schwarzengrund. RNAcentral's name for it is "partial 23S ribosomal RNA". It matches the Rfam family "Bacterial large subunit ribosomal RNA", at positions 1 to 585 of the family's 2925-position model. The record is from RNAcentral. Lineage: Bacteria; Pseudomonadati; Pseudomonadota; Gammaproteobacteria; Enterobacterales; Enterobacteriaceae.
GGUUAAGCGACUAAGCGUACACGGUGGAUGCCCUGGCAGUCAGAGGCGAUGAAGGACGUGCUAAUCUGCGAUAAGCGCCGGUAAGGUGAUAUGAACCGUUAUAACCGGCGAUUUCCGAAUGGGGAAACCCAGUGUGACUCGUCACACUAUCAUUAACUGAAUCCAUAGGUUAAUGAGGCGAACCGGGGGAACUGAAACAUCUAAGUACCCCGAGGAAAAGAAAUCAACCGAGAUUCCCCCAGUAGCGGCGAGCGAACGGGGAUGAGCCCAGAGCCUGAAUCAGCAUGUGUGUUAGUGGAAGCGUCUGGAAAGGCGCGCGAUACAGGGUGACAGCCCCGUACACAAAAGCGCAUAUGCUGUGAGCUCGAUGAGUAGGGCGGGACACGUGGUAUCCUGUCUGAAUAUGGGGGGACCAUCCUCCAAGGCUAAAUACUCCUGACUGACCGAUAGUGAACCAGUACCGUGAGGGAAAGGCGAAAAGAACCCCGGCGAGGGGAGUGAAAAAGAACCUGAAACCGUGUACGUACAAGCAGUGGGAGCCCCAC